GAGCUUCGGGAUUCCGCCUACCCGGUAGCGGCUGUUUAGACCCAGACCGGCCCCUGCGCGAUAUGAGCACCGCUCAGGACUGCAGCUGUUGGGCACCAGCAGCCAGGUCUGCAGGCUCCGCGAAGCCUGGCCCGGACCGUAGCUUCUGCAAGCAGUCCAGGUGUAUCCUGGGGUCACUGGAGGGCAGAGCCUGCUCAGAGCGAGUACAGAAGCAGCCCAGGUCUUCCCAGCACCAGGUUCACUGGAAGUGCCAGGCCACCACCUCCUUCAUGCUCCUCUGUGAUCACCUCUCCAAGUCCCGGUGUCAGGAGCCUUCUCUGUGGCCGCCCUGGAGAGACUUGAGCCUGGGACGUGACGUGCUGGGCUGUGAAGCUUUCUGAGAAGGGAAACCUGUGGCCUGACCUGCCUGAAUGCUGCACCCAACCUCAUCUCUUCCUGGGAGAAACCAACAACUGUCAGCAUUGACACCAUCAGGCCUUUCUCUUCUAAUUUAACCUUGCAGCCAACCACACGGCUAUCUGUGCGGGAUCUCUCCCCAAGCUCAAGGACAUGAGAUGCGGAUCAGGCCCAAGAGGCUGGAUGCCAAACCUAUCCUCUCCAUGUGAAGCACCAACUUGGGGGUGUCAACUAAAAAUAUGAGACCCGUAAACUUGGAAAGGAAGACUUUAUUUCUUGAGAAGGGUUGCAAACUGCAGGCUGGGAAGUGGCACCUCCAGCUGAGACCACAAACAGUGGACUUUCUCAAACUGGGGUAUUGACCUCUGAUGAACCGCCAUGCAAACCCGUGCCUUUCAACAUAAAAAGAAGCCCUUCGAGGUGCUCACCUUCAAGCUUGCUAGAGGAGGAGGAAGAGCAGUCUUCAAGAGGCCUGGCCAGGUGGAAUGCCCCCCAGUCUGAGUUUGUCUGGUGCUUCCUUACCAUGAGACUGGGGUCUUGGAGUUUUGAGGUUUUGGAAAGACACCUCAGAAGUUAAGUAUCUUUCUUGUCACAUUGCAUUAGGGGGGUACAUGGUAUCAAUAUCUCUUUUCUCUGGUGAUGUAAAACUUGAUCAUUUGAAUAAUGUAGUCUUUCAUGGUUUUUUUAUCCACUGUAAAGUUGCUAUGUGUUCCUCCCUCUACUGUAGUCUUUGGAAAGGAGUCACCAAGUCAGCCCACCCUUAAAGAGGGAGAAUAUUUAGUCUCCACCUCCCGGAAGAAGGAGCAUCCAUAUGUAUUAUUUGCAAUUUGUCUGUAAGAUAGGUUUGUCUACCCCAUUAAAAAGUGGGCAAAGGAUAUGAACAUACACUUCUCAAAAAAAGACAUACAUAUGGCCAACAAACAUGGGAAAAAGAGCUCAACAUUACUAUCAUUAAAGAAUUGCAAAUCAAAACCACAAUGAGAUACCAUCUCAUGCCAGUCAGAAUGGCGAUUAUUAAAAAGUCAAGAAACAACAAAUGCUGGCGAGGUUGCAGAGAAAUAGGAAUGCUUUUACUCUGUUGGUGGGAAUGUAAAUUAGUUCAACCAUUGUGGAAGACAGUGUGGCAAUCCCUGUAAGAUUUAGGACCAGAAAUACCAUUUGACCCAGCAAUGCCAUUACUGCGUAUAUACCCAAAGGAAUAUAAAUCAUUCUACUGUAAAGAUACAUGUAUGCAUACAUAUGUUCUUUGCAGCACUAUUUGCAGUAGCAAAGACAUAGAAUCAAUCUAAAUGCUCAUCAAUAAUAGACUGGAUAAAGAAAAUGUGGUACAUAUAUACCAUGGAAUACUAUGCAGCCAUAGAAAGGAAUUAGAUCAUGUCCUUUGCAGGGACAUGGAUGAAGCUGGAAGCCAUUAUUCUCGGCAAACUAAGGCAGGAACAGAAAACCAAACACUGUAUGUUCUCACUUAUAAGUAGCAGCUGAACAACGAGAACAUAUGGACAGGGGGAGGGGAUUAACACACACUGGGCCCUGUCAGGGGAGGGUGUGAGGGGAGAGCAUUAGGGAAAAGAGCUAAUGCAUGCUGGGCUUAAUACCUGGAUGAUGGGUUGAUAGGUGCAACAAACCACCCUGGCACACGUUUAUUUAUGUAACAAACCUCCACAUCCUGCACAUGUACCCCGGAACUUAAAAAAUAAAUAAAAUAAUUAUUUUUAAAAAGA
Molecule: long non-coding RNA, 2117 nt
Filed under: Homo sapiens (human)
Lineage: Eukaryota; Metazoa; Chordata; Mammalia; Primates; Hominidae
Description: long intergenic non-protein coding RNA 2965
Source: RNAcentral